Nicotiana attenuata is the source of this 78-nucleotide non-coding RNA. The record is from Rfam. NCBI's taxonomy places the organism in Eukaryota, Viridiplantae, Streptophyta, Magnoliopsida, Solanales, Solanaceae.
GGUGUCGUGGUGUAGUUGGUUAUGAAGUCAGUCUGUCUUACACACUGAAGUUCUACGGUUCAAGUCCGGGCGACGCCA